AGUUGCACAGCUGCCUGGUAGGUGACUGGAGGCAUUGAGCAGUGUGCUCACUGGUAUUUCGCUGAUGUGGCCCCAACCCCGCCUCCCUCCCCACCCCGCGAUGUCAGAAAAAACACAACAGGGGAAAUUGGCCGCAGCCAAGAAAAAGUUAAAAGCAUAUUGGCAGAGGAAGAGCCCUGGCAUUCCAGCAGGAGCUAACAGGAAAAAGAAAAUCAAUGGCAGUAGCCCUGACACAGCCACUUCUGGUGGUUACCACUCACCUGGGGAUUCAGCAACAGGUAUCUACGGAGAAGGCCGUGCAUCCUCUACUACCCUGGAGGAUCUGGAGAGCCAGUACCAAGAACUAGCAGUGGCCCUGGAUUCAAGCUCCGCAAUAAUCAGUCAACUCACUGAAAACAUCAAUUCACUGGUUCGCACAUCUAAGGAGGAGAAGAAGCAUGAGAUACAUCUGGUACAGAAGCUUGGGAGGAGCUUGUUCAAACUCAAAAACCAGACGGCUGAACCCCUGGCCCCAGAGCCCCCAGCAGGGCCAUCUAAGGUAGAGCAGCUACAAGAUGAGACCAACCACCUAAGGAAGGAGCUAGAGAGUGUGGGAAGACAGCUCCAGGCUGAGGUGGAAAACAAUCAGAUGUUGAGUCUCCUGAACAGGAGACAGGAGGAGAGGCUACGUGAACAGGAGGAGAGGCUACGUGAACAGGAGGAGAGGCUACGUGAACAGGAGGAUAGGCUACAUGAACAGGAGGAGAGGCUACGUGAACAGGAGGAGAGGCUGUGUGAACAGGAGGAGAGGCUACGUGAACAUGAGGAGAGGCUGUGUGAACAGGAGGAGAGGCUAUGUGAACAGGAGGAGAGGCUACGUGAACAGGAGGAGAGGCUGUGUGAACAGGAGGAGAGGCUACGUGAACAGGAGGAGAGGCUGUGUGAACAGGAGAAGCUGCCAGGGCAGGAGAGGCUGCUGGAAGAGGUGGAGAAGCUGUUAGAACAGGAGAGGCGGCAGGAGGAGCAGGAGAGGCUGCUGGAGAGGGAGAGGCUGCUGGAAGAGGUGGAGAAGCUGUUAGAACAGGAGAGGCGGCAGGAGGAGCAGGAGAGGCUGCUGGAGAGGGAGAGGCUGCUGGACGAGGUGGAGGAGCUCCUGGACGAGGUGGAGGAGCUCCUGGAGCAGGAGAGGCUUCGGUAACAGGAUGAGAGGCUGUGGCAGCAGGAGACUCUGCGGGACUGGAGAGGCUGCGGGAGCUGGAGAGGAUGCUGGAGCUGGGGUGGGAAGCCCUGUACGAGCAGCGGGCCGAGCCACGCAGCGGCUUCGAGGAGCUGAACAACGAGAACAAGAGCACACUGCAGUUGGAGCAGCAAGUAAAGGAGCUGGAGAAGUCGGGUGGAGCUGAAGAGCCAAGAGGCUCCGAGUCUGCAGCAGCAGCCAGACCAGUACCUGGAGCCCCAGUCCCACAAGGAGCUUGGAUGUGCGGACAAGCAGGGUGGACUCCCCAGGAGCACCCAGGCUUGGGUGGAGAAGCUGUUGGUACAGGAGAGGCGGCAGGAGGAGCAGGAGAGGCUGCAUGCCAUUCUUUUCGGGCUGCCGAGAACAGGGAGCUAAACAUCACCAUCAUCUAAGAGCGGGUCAAGGAAUUAAAAAAAAACAACAAAACGUUUAAGGGGUUAAUAUCCU
Homo sapiens (human) is the source of this 1663-nucleotide RNA transcript. It is a transcript of the gene named golgin A6 family like 17, pseudogene, with no coding region annotated. The record is from RefSeq and is marked validated. NCBI's taxonomy places the organism in Eukaryota, Metazoa, Chordata, Mammalia, Primates, Hominidae.